Molecule: long non-coding RNA, 975 nt
Organism: Ixodes scapularis (black-legged tick)
Lineage: Eukaryota; Metazoa; Arthropoda; Arachnida; Ixodida; Ixodidae
Exons: 2
Source: RefSeq, a predicted model, not a curated record
AGAAUCGGUCCCGGCUAGUCAACUAGCUUCCGAGGAACAUCUGCCUUCUGUGAAGGUGUGCGUCGAAGAGUCGUCCUCAGCCGUGCUGCAGCAGUGAGCCUCUCCCUCGGAGUGGUGCGAAGCUUUCGUCCAUUUGGUCGUCCGUUCCAAAUUCCCCUCAUCAUGCGCCCCGGCGAAUCUCCUGCCAUUCCCCAACGAAAGGCGACUUUCGAAGCCGAAAGCCGCAAGAUGUCCGGCUUCAAGUCGUUCUCUAAGGACCCCCAGUCCCCUUUCAAGAACAACAGCUCCACCGACCAGAAGAAGACCGAGCAACCACGGAACCCCUGGGGUCCCACCUUCAAGGACCGCCAGCACUUCGUGGACAUGCAUUUCAACUGAACUGAAUCUUCGGGGCAGGGGCCCAACACCUCCUAUUUAACGAGGCCCUAGUGCUGCCCUCACUACGUCAUCCAUAGUAGGCCAACGCGGAGCACCGAUUAGACAGAAGUGUUAUGUCUCCGUCCGGCUGAGCCUCGUGUCCUCACUGAUGGUACACUGGUCCCUGCCGAACACUGACCCAGCACUCACUUUCAAUCUGUACUCCGCCCUGGCCUCCGUUUGGUGACAGAAUUCAGCACCAAGGCCUCGUUACCUAGGACGCGAUGGCGGGAGGCGCUUCCCGAGCCCCGCACCCCUCUUCCGACUUCCGUUAGGGGCUUCGCAAAUGAGACGCAUCGCUUUCGCAGCACCUGUAGGGAGGUGCCUUCUGUACCCGUAUUUGCUACGAGCUUGCCGCACUGGUGACGAUGAUUACUUUGAUGUCAUAUUUACAAGUUAUACUUGUGUCUGUAGAAUCUCUGUGUAGGUGUUUUCUAAACAAAUAUAUGGUACUUAUAUACCGUUAAUGAACAAAGAUAUUGUAUAUCCUAACUUUUUUUUUCGUUUCUACUUCUGUUUAAUUUACAAUAAAUUCGGCCUAGUGCCUUCACUGCCAUA